GGUUUCCUCUCUCUUUUUUAACCAGUUACAGGCGGGACGCUGUCCUUUAAGCGGCAGGAGUGGGAGAGAGGGAGCGAGCUCGAGAGGGGUUUCCUUCCCCUAGGUCGAGCGGCCUCGGGCGUGGAGCACCAGAGGAAGACAGGACCGACGCCUGCUCGGACCGGGGCCCGGGCGUGGCUGUGCCAAGCUGCUGGUGAGUCGGCUCGGCGACGAGACGGAGAGAGGCUGUCUGUGGAAGAGGCGGAGGCGGCGGCGGCGGCGGAAGAAGAGGCUGCGUCCACUCGCGGAAGCGGCGGGUUCGACCUGCGGCAGAGAGAGCAGAGUCCACGCGGGAGAAGUACAAAGAGAGGUGCGUAGACGUAGACCGGAUCCGAGUUUAAUUGGUCUCCGCUGCCUCGUGUGAGCGCUACGCGUGCAUCGAGCGGCGGCGGUGGCGGCUCCCAUUUGAGGAGAGCGGGGAGGGAGCAGAGCGAAGAGUGGCCGCCCUUGUUUGCGUGAGCUCCACCAAGUCGAGUCAAAGGAGCGACUCCGUGUGUGUUUCGUGUCUUUCUGGCUGUCUCAUCAUCAUGGAGUCAUCGUCUCUCUGUGUGUGUGUCUCUCUCAAAAGUCCGCUGCCUACGGGAAGAGACAAGAAGAAAACUCGACAUAUGAUGAUUGUCUAUGCCGUUGACUCGACUCGUCGCUUACGAUGUUGAGUCAAAAUGACGUUGUGUAUGUAUGUACCGGUUGGACGCAUGUGUGUGUGACCGUCACCGGCAGUUGAAACGUCGUUUAACAUCGGGUGUUAGUGUGUUCACGUAGGUGUAACGUGUUUGUUGACGAAUUGAUGUUAGUACACAUUCGAUUGUCAAACAUGAACGAACAGAAGUACUAAAGUCGACGAGGUUUCCUCAAUCGGCACCCACCUGCUUGAUUUCGAACGGCGCUGUAAAGUCGACUGGCCCGAGGCUGCCUGCUGCUACGGCCCGUCUUCUCCGCGUUGGUACGAGCUCCUAGACGGCCUCCUAUAGUACCUGUUCUAUGAGUAGUCAAACGGCAGCUUCCUGCAGCCGGCAACGGCGCGGCAGUCGCGCAGUACCGCAUCACGCUGUAGGUGCGGGCGUAAGUACGAGCUCGUGGCGGCGGCGGUCGGCAGCAAGGGGUAGCAGCUACCGGUCCCCGCCGGGCGGUCGGAGCAGCAGCAAGCACUGCGGUUACAGGUACUCGUCGAGACCGGAAAGGAGGGCCCAGGACUUGUAGCGAACGUCUUAACGGAGUCUCCGCGGACGCUACCGAAGGAGCAGCAGAGAGCUCCGUUGGUCGAGAUGUAGACGUUGGGCCAGUAGGCGUGCAUACGAGAGGAUGGCCUCGGAGUCUCCGUUAUGUUGUGGUAUCGGCCAAAGAUGACGGUGGUAAGUUGACCUCUUAUAUCCCACGAGACCCAGAGUGUCAGUGUACUGAGCAGGUGUAGGUCGAAUAUGCAGGAGUGCCACCCUAGGCUGUUCGGCUCCGUGUUGUCUCAGUCUUACGGCUGUCAGAGUAGCGGAAGACGUCUUGUCUUCGAUGAGUUGUUCGACGCAAAAAGUAGGCUGACAAGUGGUGGUCAGGUGGUGGCACCGUCGGACGUGACCGCAGUAACACCACGGUCGCUGUAAUACCCUCUGCUGCCUCUGUAAUAACACAAGCUGUGUCUUCUCCUCAGUAAGGCUACCUACGCGCCAGGGUGGGUCGGUACGGUAACAUCCUUCAACAAGCUGUACCUCCCCUGUGAACGAAAGACCCCGCCGAGCUGAGGGUCCAGGUGAAGUUACCUACAGACCCACUACGUCCUAAUGCUCCGACUUUAGACCCGAAAGUUCAUGGCCUAACUAGACAGUUGGCACCUCCGUAGUUCUGUUGAAAUAAGUUGAAGAAAACAUUUCUUUUCCUAUUCCAGUGAACUAAGAUGCCACGCUAACAACUUGCUACACCGACACGAUUUGUUUACACUCGACGACCAGUACAAGUUAUUCUUCGUACACAACGCGACGUUACAACUACCGUUCAAGGAUCCACAACACUUGUAACCCUUCUCAGUGAUAACGUACAACGAAUGAGUCGUGGCGGAGGUUCUCUCGUAACAAGGCUAAGGUCCGGUACUAUACUACGUUCUUUUCGGCUCCUCGGAGGUAAGAGGUGUCCCGUACAGACUUACCAGUACUGAGGACCGAACGGAAAACAGGAAUCGAGAAGGAUGAACAUGGUGUACGGUAUAACCUACACUAGCAAACCACGAACAAUACUACAGAACUAGUUACUAGUAGAACAAUUACGAGACUUGAUACCUAUAGAAACCGUUCCAACUCUACGUGUUUACCAGUACGAUACAACAUUACAAUAAGAUCUAGAGAAUG
Molecule: ribosomal RNA, 2372 nt
Filed under: Triticum aestivum (bread wheat)
Lineage: Eukaryota; Viridiplantae; Streptophyta; Magnoliopsida; Poales; Poaceae
Description: partial small subunit ribosomal RNA
Source: RNAcentral